GCGGCGAACGGGUGAGUAACACGUGGGUAAUCUGCCCUGCACUCUGGGAUAAGCUUGGGAAACUGGGUCUAAUACCGGAUAUGACCGCAUGCCGCAUGGUGUGUGGUGGAAAGAUUUAUCGGUGCAGGAUGGGCCCGCGGCCUAUCAGCUUGUUGGUGGGGUAAUGGCCUACCAAGGCGACGACGGGUAGCCGACCUGAGAGGGUGACCGGCCACACUGGGACUGAGACACGGCCCAGACUCCUACGGGAGGCAGCAGUGGGGAAUAUUGCACAAUGGGCGGAAGCCUGAUGCAGCGACGCCGCGUGAGGGAUGAAGGCCUUCGGGUUGUAAACCUCUUUCAGCAGGGACGAAGCGUGAGUGACGGUACCUGCAGAAGAAGCACCGGCUAACUACGUGCCAGCAGCCGCGGUAAUACGUAGGGUGCGAGCGUUGUCCGGAAUUACUGGGCGUAAAGAGUUCGUAGGCGGUUUGUCGCGUCGUUUGUGAAAACCCGGGGCUCAACUUCGGGCUUGCAGGCGAUACGGGCAGACUUGAGUGUUUCAGGGGAGACUGGAAUUCCUGGUGUAGCGGUGAAAU
This 578-nucleotide ribosomal RNA is filed under the name Rhodococcus sp. I14A-01132. Its description in RNAcentral is "bacterial SSU rRNA". It matches the Rfam family "Bacterial small subunit ribosomal RNA", at positions 95 to 687 of the family's 1533-position model. The record is from RNAcentral. Lineage: Bacteria; Bacillati; Actinomycetota; Actinomycetes; Mycobacteriales; Nocardiaceae.